GAGUGAUGAAGGCCUUCGGGUCGUAAAACUCUGUCCUCAAGGAAGAUAAUGACGGUACUUGAGGAGGAAGCCCCGGCUAACUACGUGCCAGCAGCCGCGGUAAUACGUAGGGGGCUAGCGUUAUCCGGAUUUACUGGGCGUAAAGGGUGCGUAGGCGGUCUUUCAAGUCAGGAGUGAAAGGCUACGGCUCAACCGUAGUAAGCUCUUGAAACUGGGAGACUUGAGUGCAGGAGAGGAGAGUGGAAUUCCUAGUGUA
This 256-nucleotide ribosomal RNA is filed under the name Clostridioides difficile. Its description in RNAcentral is "partial 16S ribosomal RNA". It matches the Rfam family "Bacterial small subunit ribosomal RNA", at positions 401 to 677 of the family's 1533-position model. The record is from RNAcentral. Lineage: Bacteria; Bacillati; Bacillota; Clostridia; Peptostreptococcales; Peptostreptococcaceae.